This 577-nucleotide ribosomal RNA is filed under the name uncultured archaeon. RNAcentral's name for it is "bacterial SSU rRNA". It matches the Rfam family "Archaeal small subunit ribosomal RNA", at positions 280 to 859 of the family's 1478-position model. The record is from RNAcentral.
GAGGAGGAGCCCGGAGAUGGGCACUGAGACAAGGGCCCAGGCCCCAUGGGGCGCAGCAGGCGCGAAACCUCUGCAAUAGGCGAAAGCCUGACAGGGUUACUCUGAGUGAUUCCCGCUAAGGGAAUCUUUUGGCAUCUCUAAAAAUGGUGCAGAAUAAGGGGUGGGCAAGUCUGGCGUCAGCCGCCGCGGUAAUACCAGCACCCCGAGUGGUCGGGACGAUUAUUGGGCCUAAAGCAUCCGUAGCCGGUCUUGCAAGUCUUCCGUUAAAUCCAGCUGCUUAACAGAUGGGCUGCGGAGGAUGCUACAAGGCUAGGAGGCGGGAGAGGCAAGCGGUACUCAGUGGGUAGGGGUAAAAUCCUCUGAUCCAUUGAAGACCACCAGUGGCGAAGGCGGCUUGCCAGAACGCGCUCGACGGUGAGGGAUGAAAGCUGGGGGAGCAAACCGGAUUAGAUACCCGGGUAGUCCCAGCUGUAAACGAUGCAGACUCGGUGAUGGGCCGGCUUUAUGCCGGCUCAGUGCCGCAGGGAAGCCGUUAAGUCUGCCGCCUGGGGAGUACGGUCGCAAGACUGAAACUUAA